UUAUAUUACGGAUCAAAUUUUCAUCAUGUUAAACUAAGCUCAGUACAAGGCUUUUACAAAAAAAAAAUAAUAAUAAAAAAAAAUAAAAAAAAAAUGAAGGCAUUAGACUUUACACUGGAAAUCCAAGAAAAACACUUUUAUUGUUUGUCAUAUAAAUUACAAAAAUAACUUUUAAGUAUAAUUAACUAAACACAGCCUUUACUUAUACAACAAACAUGCAAAGUGAAAAAAUGAUGUGAGGUUAAUUUAAGAAAGUUCCGUGCGGACCUAACUCGGAAAAUGAAAGGAAAGUAUUGAUAUCAUUUCAUAUUAGAUUCGUUAAGCCAUCCACCCUAAAAGUUCUUGCUGUUUCAAAGGUCAAAUUCUGCGUAAUGGGUUACCCAAAAUGACCAGCUUAUUCUAUUCAUUAAACGUGUGGAAAUUAAAAGGAGCAGCCAUCAACUGAUUUACUUCGUAACCUUAUAAAUACAUUAAACACUCAACAAGACAUCAACACAAAGAAAAUGAUAUUUGAAUAGAGAGUAAAAGAAUGUGGUUUGUAGAGUUUAAAGUGUAGUAUACAAAAGAUUAAUACAACUACAAUGCGGAAUAAUAAACUCUCAAAGUAUAAAACCGAACCAAAGACGACUCAAAGCUUCUUCAACACCACAAAUGAAGUGUUUUUGAUAUUAAGCUCAGAUUUGUGCCACACCAGAUUAUGCACCGUCGUCCACGGGAAUGGCAACGGAUAUAUCGAAAAAGGAUCCGCCGGAAACCACCAAGCACUUCGCCGAAGUUAUGGAAAGCUCCCACUUGGUUACCUCUCUAUACUCUCUCUCAAAUGUUAUGCCAAGUCCAAGUAUAAGAGAAUGAAAAGGUCUUGUAAUUAUAGAGUCAAUUCAUUUGAAUUCAAAAUUGAAAUAUUGUACUAUAGUCUAGAGAGUGACAACACUAGUAUAGAUAAUUAACGACAAGAUUAAAUCCUAACAUAAUUCAAGUCACAUUCUCUAGACCAAUCAACUUGCAUCAAUAUUAUGAUGUGAUCCACCUUACAUGGUUGAUUCUGAAGGUUUUGAUCUUACAUUUCGUUGGGUUUCUUCUUCUCUGUGGAGUACUGCCUACUCAUGCUCAAGAACGUGGCUAGAAGUUUGUGCUAAGAGAUGCUCCAUACACGAGGCUUUGCACUAACAAGACUAUUUUGACAAUAAAUGGACAAUUUCCGGGGCCAACUAUAUACGCCACAAAAGGAGAAACGGUUAUCGUUGAUGUUUACAAUCGAGCACAUGAUAACAUCACCAUUCACUGGCAUGGAGUGAAAAUGCCAAGGUAUCCACGGUCAGAUGGUCCCGAGUAUGUCACUCAAUGCCCAAUUCGACCUGG
Olea europaea var. sylvestris is the source of this 1359-nucleotide long non-coding RNA. RefSeq lists it as uncharacterized. The record is from RefSeq and is a predicted model, not a curated record. The transcript has 3 exons. Lineage: Eukaryota; Viridiplantae; Streptophyta; Magnoliopsida; Lamiales; Oleaceae.